GAUGAACGCUGGCGGCGUGCUUAACACAUGCAAGUCGAACGAAGCACUUCAUAAAGUUUACUUUAAGAAGUGACUUAGUGGCGGACGGGUGAGUAACGCGUGGGUAACCUGCCUUACACAGGGGGAUGACAGUUAGAAAUGACUGCUAAUACCGCAUAAAACAGCAGAGCCGCAUGACUCAACUGUCAAAGAUUUAUCGGUGUAAGAUGGACCCGCGUCUGAUUAGCUGGUUGGUGGGGUAACGGCCUACCAAGGCGACGAUCAGUAGCCGGCCUGAGAGGGUGAACGGCCACAUUGGGACUGAGACACGGCCCAAACUCCUACGGGAGGCAGCAGUGGGGAAUAUUGGACAAUGGGCGAAAGCCUGAUCCAGCGACGCCGCGUGAGCGAUGAAGUAUUUCGGUAUGUAAAGCUCUAUCAGCAGGGAAGAAAACGACGGUACCUGACUAAGA
Molecule: ribosomal RNA, 452 nt
Filed under: uncultured bacterium
Lineage: Bacteria
Description: bacterial SSU rRNA
Rfam family: Bacterial small subunit ribosomal RNA
Source: RNAcentral